CCCUUAGAUGUUCUGGGCCGCACGCGCGCUACACUGAUACAUUCAACGAGUCUAAAACCUGCUCUGAUAGGGGUGGGUAAUCUUUUGAAUGUGCAUCGUGAUUGGGAUAGAUGAUUGCAAUUUUUCAUCUUCAACGAGGAAUGCCUAGUAAACGCAAGUCAUCAGCUUGCAUUGAUUACGUCCCUGCCCUUUGUACACACCGCCCGUCGCUCCUACCGAUUGAAUGAUCCGAUGAAUAUCAUGGAUUGAGGAUGUAAGCAGGUUCGCCUGUCUUCAUCUUCGAGAAGUGAAGUAAAUCUUAUCAUUUAGAGGAAGGAGAAGUCGUAACA
This 329-nucleotide ribosomal RNA is filed under the name uncultured eukaryote. RNAcentral's name for it is "partial 18S ribosomal RNA". It matches the Rfam family "Eukaryotic small subunit ribosomal RNA", at positions 1470 to 1796 of the family's 1831-position model. The record is from RNAcentral.